This is a long non-coding RNA of Acanthochromis polyacanthus (spiny chromis), 7038 nucleotides long. RefSeq lists it as uncharacterized. NCBI's taxonomy places the organism in Eukaryota, Metazoa, Chordata, Actinopteri, Pomacentridae. The transcript is spliced from 2 exons. The record is from RefSeq and is a predicted model, not a curated record.
GAGACACCUUCGACACCUGUUGAGUUUUCAUACAUAUAUGCAGCAUGUGAUGCAGUUAUAUCGUAACAUUAUCUUCUUGUAAAUAUUUCCACGUUAAUCUCAAUAAUUAACAUUGCUGUGGGGUCUUAGCGGUAAUAUUUAUAUUAGUUUGGUUAAGUUCUGUAAUUUAUAACACUAUGGAUCAUAAGUUAUUCUCCAGAAUUAAUAACAUAGGGUUUCAGGCUCAGUGUGUGUUCUCGUCAGAUUAAGUAUAAUUUCACGUUACAUUUGCAGAUUUUAUUACCUUUUAUCUCAAUUAUUCUGGUCCAAUGAUGCCAUAAAUUAUUCUGUAUUGUCUUAUCAGCAAUAUCUAGACUUGUUGGGUUGCUUUCAUAACACCUAGUACAAUCCUUUUUACUGGAUUGUACAGAUUUUAUGGUUGUUUUAUAUCUGCUUGUAUCAUUUUGUGCUUCUUUUGCAUCUUGUUUUUGAUUAUUUUGUGUCUCUUUGUGGUCAUUUUGUGUCACAUUGUAGUAGCUUUGGCCCUCUUUGUAGUUAGUUUGAAUCUGUUUGUCAUUUUGUGUUUCUGUGGUAAUUUUCAUGUCUUUUCAAACACACAAGUAGAAGUACUAAUAGAGAAGUAUUAAAAUUUCCUCAACUUUAUGGUUGUUUUACAUCUUCUUGUAUCAUUUUGCGUCUCUGUGAGUGCUUUGUGUCUGUGAUUCUUUAGUGUCUCUAUGUGUUUGUCUUGUGUCUUUUUGGGGUGGUUUUGAGUCUCUUCAGGGUAGAUUUUUGUCUCUUUAUGGUCAUUUUGUCUUGUGUCUAUGUGAUUGUUUUGUGUCUCUGUAGUUGUUUUGUUUCUGUUGGUGGUUAUUUUGCAUCUCUUUGUGGUUGUUUUGUGUCUCUUUGUGGUUGUUUUGUGUCUGUUUGGGGUGAUUUUGUGUCUCUUUGUGGUCAUUUUGUGUUGCAUUGUAGUAGUUUUGGCCCUCUUUGUCAUUUUGUGUUUCUGUGGUAGUCUUCGUGUCUUUUCAAACACGAGUAGAAGUACUAAUAGAGAAGUAUUAAAACUGUACUGACCUCAUGGUUGAUUUACAUCAUCUUGUAUCAGUUUGCAUCUCUUUGUGAUUGUUUUGUGUUUGUGCUUGUUAGGGAUGCUCCGAUCCAUGUUUUUUCAAUUCCAAUCCGAUAUAUUAAUUUGGCUAUUUCCCGAUACUUUCCCAAUACUUAUGUAGACUACAUAGAAAAAAAUUAAGUUAAAAAAAUUGCAUUAUUUUUCAAUUAAAGUCAUUUAUUAAUUGCAUAAUAGGCUUGGGUUCAAUUAACAAGUGCAGUCAGUACAAAAAAAGGAAAAAGGCAACUCAUCAAAGAACAAAACAACAAUAACAAAUGCCUGGCAGUGCAAAGUGCAAAUGCUUAAGUUGCAACCUCCUUUUUUGACAGAAUAUUUAGUGCAAUAAGAGUAUACCUACAUAAAUAAAACAAUGUGCAUAGCUGCUUCAUAGAAUUAUGUUGAACACAAAAUAUAAUUUUGUAUCUCUGUUUUAGUGCAGCAGCAACCACUGUAAACAAUGAAAGGAAAACACAUCACUGACAUCAGUCACUGUCUUAUUACCUUGAAAUUAACAUGAGGUAUCUAGGUUAGAACAAAUAAAUCAGAGCCUGGCAGUGAAAAAAUGACAAAUACAAAAAGGUGGCAAUAAGAAAGUGCAUACUAGCUGCUGCUUAAAAUAAUAUGCAAAAACAUAAAUUAAACAUUGUAAGUCUAUUUUAAUGCAGCAGGAACAUGAGGAGCUGGAGCAAGUUAAACAACAACAAUGCAGCAGCAACCACUGUAAACAAGGACAGCCACAUCUCAUCGGGGCUUUUUUAAAGUUAACAUCAGGUAUAACAGGUUACCUUUUAACCCUCAGGUUAACACAGACGAGUCUCACUUAGGAGAACUUUGGCAGGUUUUUCUUGAGGAAAAUUAGCAUUUCUGCAUUCCCUGCAGUAAGGCGGUUUCUCUUUUCAUCGACUAUAUUGGAUGUGGUGCUAAACAGUCUCUCACUUUCAACUGAGGUGGAGGGGGCACUGAGAAAUUUUAAUGUAAUGGCUGCAAUUGCAGGAAAGCUAUCAUGUUUUUUUCCCAGAACUGGAAAGGGGACUCAGAACGAGGAAUUGUUGGCUCUUGAAAAUAUUUUUGCAGUUGAACUACAGUAACAUCAUCAGUCCUACUUCCUGUUCUAGGAUCACCACUCUCCUCCAGAAUGUCAUCAUACAGAGACAUGAAGCUGCUCCGGCUUGGAGUUGGAUCAGCUGCUUCCAUGCGAGGCACCUUGAGAAACAAGAUUAAAAUUACUUACUUAAACUGACAUGAAUGAUAGCCAAUUAGCCACACUGCUAGCAGCCGCUAUACUAUAGUGGCUACUGGUAUAUUCAUCAAAGGCUAUAGACUAUGUCGUCUAAGUAAGUAGUCAGUCACUAUACAGUGACUACGCUACAGUGAGUAUAGUAUAGUACACCAUAACAUUUACUCAGUGUACAGUCAUAUUUAAUGAAAUAAAUGAUCAACGUACAGUUGUACAGAUAGAUUCACAAGACUACAAUGUUUUUUUGCAAAGAACACAAACCUGAGACAGGGUUCAUUCAAUAUAAUCUUAUUUAUGAACAUGAAUUCACUUAGAGAUACCCCCUCCUUUUUUGCAGUAAACAGACAAUCGAGAAACUAAGAGUCAUAAUGUAUCACACCUUGUCAGCUGGCUCUGUUGUUGCUGAAGCUGUAUCCUCCUCAGAAGCCGCUGGCUGUGUAGCUGAAGCUGCUCCAUCAUUCAAUGUUAGCUCCACCUUCCUCAUCUCUCGCAGCAGGGCAUCCUUGGCAAGCUUGGCUGUGACAGCAUCUGUGAAGUAUCUAACACAAAAAUAAGAUAGAUUGUAAGAUAGGUUGAGCACAACUUUGGUGUACCAAAGCAUCAGACAGUGAUGUAUGAAAAUAAACAUGUUACUGCUGACUAAAUUGGUAGAAACAAUUGCCUCUCUCUCUCUCUCUUCCUCUCUCACACAGUUUUCACAUAUCAUAUUUAGGCUAUGGACAGUUCGAGGAAUCUAGUUUGUGCCAUAUUUCACAUUUAAAAACGGCCAACAACAACAUUUGAGUAUAAUUUUGAUAAAACAUUUUAUAAAUGUUGUCUUACCUGUCUUUGUAACGGGGGUCCACUAAAGUUGCUACAGCGUAGAGGGGUGUAUCUUUGGUGCUGCUGAACCUCCUGUUUAUGGCCUCCAUAAGGGUUCGCUUCAUGGUUUUAAUCCUGCUGUCAGUGCUGGUCUCCUGCUGGAGCAGUCGUUUCAGGACAGUGAUGGCUGGAAUUAUGUCCGCUGCUGUGGAGGUCGCAGAGCUGACGAGCUGCGUUAUCUCCUUAAAGGGUUCCAGUACUGUCAGUUUUUUCUAACACUCGUUGGCAGACAGUGUGGUAGGCAGGCCGACGUCCGCAUGAUAUGUGCACAGGGCUCGCUUGUGUUCAAGGAGGCUUUGAGUCAUGGACAACGAGCUGUUCCAUCCUGUCGGAACGUCUUGCUGGAGCCUGUUUGUUUGUUUUGUUGGUUGCAGUUCUUUCUGAAUGUCUUCAAACUUUGACUGCGCCACUUGUGAAUGCUUGAAAUGCGUCACUAUUCUCCUUCCAUUUGCGAGUGCAUUAAUCACGCUUUGUUGUGAGAGAACCCCUUCGUGAACCACUAGCUGCAGUGUAUGCGGCAGGCAGCCGAAACUAUUAACAGGCACUUCAUCCAUCGCCUUUUUCAAUUCAAUUCAAUUUUAUUUAUAUAGCGUCAAUUACAGUCAAAAUGUCUCAAGACGCUUUACAGAACCCAUAUGCCUGACCCCCAGAGCAAGCCCAAAGGCGACAGUGGCAAGGAAAACACCCUUUUAACAGGGAAGAAACCUCGAGCAGAGACCGGCUCUAUAUAGGGGGGACCCAUCUGCCUGUUGGCCGGGCGGGUUGAGAGGGACAGAGGAGGGCAAGGGGGAGGGAUGGGAGAAGAGGGAGGGGUGGGAAAGCAAGGAAAACACAACACACAUUUGGAUACAUGUAUGACAGGAUAUGUGACACAAAGUAUAAACUAACAUUGAAAACUGACUCAUAGUUUACUCUUAUGAUGUACGGCUCUGACAUUAAACAUACUACAUAUAUAGCUAGCAGUAAAAUUCAAACAGUAUGUAGAUUAGCAUAACAAGUAAUGCAAUAACGGUAUACAUAUUAAAUGUAAAGGUAGAUAGAGAAGGGCUCAGUGCAUCAAGAGAAGUCCCCCAGCAGCCUAUAGGCCUAUAGCAGCAUGACUAGGGGCAGAACGAAGGGACGUCCAAGAGGGAGUCAGCUGUGCAAAUGAAGACACAAGCCGAAUCCCUGUGGGUCACCCAGUCAGCCCUAACUAUAAGAUUUGUCAAAAAGGAACGUUUUAAGCCUGGUCUUAAAAAUAGAGAGGGUAUCUGCCUCCCGAACCCAAACUGGGAGCAGGUUCCACAGGAGAGAUGCCUGAUAACUGAAGGCUCUGCCUCCCAUUCUACUUUUAGAAAUUCUAGGAGCAACAAGUAAGCCUGCAGUUUGAGAGCGAAGAGUUCUACUAGGAUAAUAUGGUACUAUCAGAUCUUUAAGAUAUGAUGGAGAUUGGUUAUUAAGAGCUUUAUAUGUCAGAAGAAGGAUUUUAAAUUCUAUUCUGGAUUUAACAGGAAGCCAGUGAAGAGAAGCAAGGAUAGGGGAAAUAUGAUCUCUUUUGCUAACUCCUGUCAGUACUCUCGCAGCAGCGUUUUGGAUCAACUGUAGAUGUUUAAGAGAGCUAUUUGGACAACCCGAUAAUAAGUAACUGCAAUAGUCAAGCCUGGAAGUAACAAAAGCAUGAACUAAUUUUUCUGCAUCACUCUGAGACAGGAUGUUCCUGAUUUUUACAAUAUUUUGCAGGUGAAAAAAGGAAGUCCUACAGACUUGCUUUAUGUGUGAGUUAAAGGACAUGUCCUGGUCAAAAAUAACUCCAAGAUUCCUCACAGUAGUACUGGAGGCCAACAUGAUGCCAUCCAGAGUAACUAUUUGCUUUGAAAGCGAGUUUCUAAGAUGUUUGGGGCCAAAUACAAUGACUUCAGUUUUGUCUGAAUUUAGCAGUAGGAAGUUAAGUCAUCCAGGUUUUAAUGUCCUUAAGACAAUCUUGCAGUCUCGCUAACUGAUCAGUUUCAUCUGGCUUCAUAGAUGAAUACAAUUGUGUGUCAUCUGCAUCACAAUGGAAGUUAAUACAAUGCUUCCUAAAUAAUAUUGCCUGCAUGUAUAAUGUGAAAAGUAUCGGUCCUAAGACAGAACCCUGAGGAACUCUGAUUAACUUUAGUAUGCUCAGAAGAGUCAUUGUUGACAUGCACAAACUGGAACCUAUCUGAUAAGUAGGAUUUAAACCAGUCCAGUGCUGUCCCUUUAAUGCCAAUUGAAUGUUCUAGACGCUGUAAUAAAAUUUUGUGGUCGAUUAUGUCAAACGCUACACUAAGAUCUAACAAAACAAGUAUAGAGACUAGUCCAUUAUCUGAUGCUAUGAGAAGGUCAUUAGUAACUUUCACCAGAGCCGUUUCUGUGCUAUGAUGCACUCUAAAGCCUGACUGAAACACUUCAAACAAAUUAUUCCUUUGUAAGUGUUCACAUAAUUGAUUUGCAACAAUUCUUUCCAGAAUUUUGGAGAGAAAUGGUAAGUUGGAUAUUGGUCUAUAGUUAGCUAACACAUCUGGAUCUAAAGUGGGCUUUUUAAGCAAGGGUUUGAUGACAGCAACCUUAAAAGCCUGUGGUACAUAGCCUGUUACUAGAGAGAGAUUAAUCAGAUCUAACAUUGAAGAAUUAAUUAAAGGUAAAAUCUCCUUGAAGAGUCUAGUUGGGAUAGGAUCUAAAAGACAUGUUGAUGGUUUGGAUGAAGAAACUGUUGAAAUUAGUUCAGAGAGACAUAUGGGAGUAGGGAUGUAACGAUUACCGGUUAAAAUGAUAAACUACGGUAAAAUGUCUGACGGUUAGUACUACUGUUUCAAAUUUUAAUUACCGUUAAACCGUGUUUGAUUGCCACAAUCCGGAAAAUCUCAGGAAUAGGCCUACUACUGUUGUGAGAAGUGCAGCAGCAGGCUGCCGAGCGGACACAUGCGCCCCGCGCGCAUGCGCCCUGCACAGUAAACAACUCGUACAUAUGGUGGAGGGCAGUACUACCGGCAGUGGAGAGAUUUUUCCACCGUCCAAACGUACCAAGUCCGAAGUCUGGGCGUACUUCGGAUUUUAUAAAGACGCGCAAGGGAGACUGGUGGAAGAAAGCAGCCCAGUCUGCCAAAAAUGCCACAAGAAAAUGUCGGCAAAGAGUGGAAACACGUCCAACAUGCUGGCUCAUCUACGGGACCACCACCCGCAACUGUGCAGCGAGUAAAAGAGAGGGCAUGUAGUGGACAGAACCAGGACAAAUCCUCCAACAGCUUCUACUUCUUCGGUCACAGUGGCACAAACAAUAACCCAGGCGUUUGAAAGGAAGGCUGCUUACGCACCGACAUCGAAACAUGCCAAAGACCUCACAGCAGCUAUCUCAUAUUUUAUUGCGAAAGACAUGAUGCCAUUUCAAACUGUUGAGAGGCCUGGAUUUUUGAAGCUGAUGAAGGUUGCUGUGCCUCACUAUAAAGUUCCUUCAUGAAAUCAUUUUUCCAAGACUGAAAUCCUGCUGCACUAUACAUUUGUUUACAUGUGGUUGUAUUGUUCUUACAUCCACUUUACUUUGUUUUAUAUAGUAGUGCUAUUGUAUUAUUUUAUAUUUGUAAGACUAGAUCUUUCCGAGCACUGAAUGUGAAGAUUCUUACAAUUUGCACAAUAUAAAGAAUGUCAUUUUAUUUAUUUUUUAAUGUUUAUGAGGCAGUGGCACCUUACUUUUUUUGUUGUACUUUGUUAUUCCUAAUGUUACUUUCAAGCAAACGGACUACCUCUUGGCUCUUUUAAGGUCCCCUCUUUAAUUUUUUAAGCUUAUUAAUAUGUUAUUUAAGGUUUAAGUUCAUAUUUUGUUUGGUUUUUCUCAAAUAAAAAAGUUGUUCAUUGA